GACGAACGCUGGCGGCAGGCUUAACACAUGCAAGUCGAACGCAUCCUUCGGGAUGAGUGGCAGACGGGUGAGUAACGCGUGGGAACGUGCCCAGAGGUACGGACUAACAACGGGAAACUGUUGCUAAUGCCGUAUACGCCCUUAGGGGGAAGAUUUAUCGCCUUUGGAUCGGCCCGCGUUGGAUUAGCUAGUUGGUGGGGUAACGGCCUACCAAGUCUACGAUCGAUAGCUGGUCUGAGAGGAUGAUCAGCCACACUGGGACUGAGACACGGCCCAGACUCCUACGGGAGGCAGCAGUGGGGAAUUUUCCGCAAUGGG
This 318-nucleotide ribosomal RNA is filed under the name uncultured Alphaproteobacteria bacterium. Its description in RNAcentral is "bacterial SSU rRNA". It matches the Rfam family "Bacterial small subunit ribosomal RNA", at positions 28 to 375 of the family's 1533-position model. The record is from RNAcentral. Lineage: Bacteria; Pseudomonadati; Pseudomonadota; Alphaproteobacteria.